CAUCUAUGAGUUGUUCAAUGAAGACAAGAAGGCAGGGCCCUUAUCAAAGAGAAACUGGGGCGUAUUUUUCACCAAUGGCACUGCAGUUUAUACUCUUGGUUUGAGUACUUCCAAUCGAAUUACUGGAAAUUCUUCGGUAACCUUCUGUGCUGCUAAACAAAAUGCUGAUUCUGCAAAGUUGCAAGAAGGGCUGAACUGGGCUUGUGGGCAAGGUGGGGCUAACUGCACUCCUAUCCAACAAGGACACCCUUGUUAUCUUCCUAAUACUUACCAGAACCAUGCAUCAUAUGCUUAUAAUGAUUAUUAUCAAAAAAUGCAUAGCACUGGAGGAACAUGCGACUUUGAUGGUACUGCCACAACA
Molecule: unclassified non-coding RNA, 361 nt
Filed under: Hevea brasiliensis (rubber tree)
Lineage: Eukaryota; Viridiplantae; Streptophyta; Magnoliopsida; Malpighiales; Euphorbiaceae
Source: RNAcentral